RNAcentral lists this ribosomal RNA (479 nucleotides) under uncultured bacterium. RNAcentral's name for it is "partial 16S ribosomal RNA". It matches the Rfam family "Bacterial small subunit ribosomal RNA", at positions 28 to 507 of the family's 1533-position model. The record is from RNAcentral.
GAUGAACGCUAGCGGGAGGCCUAACACAUGCGAGCCGAGCGGUAUUUGUUCUUCGGAACAGAGAGAGCGGCGCACGGGUGCGGAACACGUGUGCAACCUGCCUUUAUCUGGGGGAUAGCCUUUCGAAAGGAAGAUUAAUACCCCAUAAUAUAUUGAGUGGCAUCAUUUGAUAUUGAAAACUCCGGUGGAUAGAGAUGGGCACGCGCAAGAUUAGAUAGUUGGUGAGGUAACGGCUCACCAAGUCAAUGAUCUUUAGGGGGCCUGAGAGGGUGAUCCCCCACACUGGUACUGAGACACGGACCAGACUCCUACGGGAGGCAGCAGUGAGGAAUAUUGGACAAUGGGUUAGCGCCUGAUCCAGCCAUCCCGCGUGAAGGACGACGGCCCUAUGGGUUGUAAACUUCUUUUGUAUAGGGAUAAACCUACUCUCGUGAGAGUAGCUGAAGGUACUAUACGAAUAAGCACCGGCUAACUCCGUG